GGGGGGGAGGUCACUUUAUAAGACUUGGGCACCACACAUGUAUGCUUUUAUGAUACUAGCCCAAAAGAGGUAGUAAAGUGAUAAUGAAUGACCUUGUGAUACUAAAACAGCAAUAGAAAAUUUUCCUCAAAUACCAAAGAACUAAAACAAAGGGUACUUUUUUUUCCAAACAAUACAGCUGUCUUAGUAAAUUUAGUCAAAAUGUCAGCAUUACGGUCAAAUACAAAAUGUAGCAGGGCUCAUGUUAUGGCCUUAUUAGCUUGGAUAACUACAUAUUAUCAUUAAAAAAAAAUUUUUCUCAAUAAAAGACAAGGAAUCAGUAACUGGCUCAACUAAAGUCAUGUGCAUGCAUAAGCACUUCUCAUAUUGUGAAAAUAAACAGUCGGCACUAGCUCAAGUGCAGAAAAAGUGUGCAGGAUUGUGCAAAUCCCAAGUUCAAACAAUAUAACUACUCCACACUUGAUUCUGUUUUCCGUUUCUUUUGGGCCAUUACUCUAGCCCUUUCAUCUGCUUGUCAUUCCUAGCUUAGGCAAGCUUUCCCCAUAUUUAAUGUGCCCAAGUCAUAUACAAAGCUGAUAAUUCAGGGUCAAGAUGUAUGAAAUGAAUUCAAAUCAUUAUAGUGGUAAAUCUAAUAGCAAAAUUUUGACUGUUUUUCUUCCUCGAUAGAUUUCCUCAAGACAACCAAUGAAGGGAAAAGUAACAUAUUUGGAAACCAUCCAAAUGCAAAUGCCUUGUGAAGAGAAUCUUGACAGAGUUAGUAAGGUUUUAAAGUCUAAGUAAAAGCCAUACGUUGUGAAGAGAAACCUAAAUGAUAAAAUGUGAAGCAAAGCUGUUUAUGGUUAUGUCUAUUACACAACCCUUAACACAACUGCAUUUGAACAAACUGUUUAUCGUCUCAUCAUUUCCUAUGGAAGAUAAAUAAAGGAAAAAGUUUUUGCAGAAGUUGUCACAGCUGCUGAAUAACUACUUAAAGCAAUCUUCUUUUUCUCUUUUGAUAGAGAAUGAUUUUUAGCAAUAUCAUAUUGCAAUGCACCAAGUCUAUUGUGCAUAGUGGGAGACAUAUAUGAAAACAAAAUGGUAAAUUAACAGUAGGAUGUAAUUAAAUAUAAUCAAAAUAAAAAUUCAAUAGAAAAACAACUAAAAAUUUAUUUCUUUACAUUACAUUAGGCUUCAUUAUUUUCCACCAAAAAUGCACUUAAUUCAUCGUAUAUAUUGAGUUACAUUAAUAUUACUGUACUAGAAAUUAACAAGAAAACUUAAGCUUACACCUUGCCCCGCUAAAAUCUCCCACUUCAAAUGCCAAGACGAGGGAUUAAUAAUAAGAAAAACAAACAAAUUGCAACAUUUAAAACGCAAAUGCCAUAAAAUAUAAGUGAAGAACGAAGAGUUAAAAUUGGAAAUCAAACCUUUUUAUAUAAAGAUUCUCUGGAAGGCGUC
RNAcentral lists this unclassified non-coding RNA (1437 nucleotides) under Hevea brasiliensis (rubber tree). Lineage: Eukaryota; Viridiplantae; Streptophyta; Magnoliopsida; Malpighiales; Euphorbiaceae. The record is from RNAcentral.